RNAcentral lists this ribosomal RNA (400 nucleotides) under phytoplankton environmental sample. RNAcentral's name for it is "partial small subunit ribosomal RNA". It matches the Rfam family "Eukaryotic small subunit ribosomal RNA", at positions 587 to 991 of the family's 1831-position model. The record is from RNAcentral.
AGCUCCAAUAGCGUAUAUUAAAGUUGUUGCAGUUAAAAAGCUCGUAGUUGGAUUUGUGGCGUACGGUGUGUCCCGGGCACUUGUUGUCUGAGUGACCUGCUGUUGCCAUCCUUGGGUGGAACCUGUGUGGCAUUAGGUUGUCGUGCAGGGGAUGCCCAUCAUUUACUGUGAAAAAAUUAGAGUGUUCAAAGCAGGCUUAUGCCGUUGAAUAUAUUAGCAUGGAAUAAUGAGAUAGGACUUUUUUGCUAUUUUGUUGGUUUGCGCAAAGAGGUAAUGAUUAAUAGGGACAGUUGGGGGUAUUCGUAUUCCAUUGUCAGAGGUGAAAUUCUUGGAUUUUUGGAAGACGAACUACUGCGAAAGCAUUUACCAAGGAUGUUUUCAUUAAUCAAGAACGAAAGUA